AUAGGUCCGCCAUUGGACAUGGAGAUCGACCGUGAUCCCAGCAGCGUUGAGCAGGGCCAGUCAACCCCCACGCCCUUAGUGCAAGGCGACUCAAGCCCGCGGUCCUGUUGGGCUAAUUGGCGGCGAUGGGUCCGCCCCGCCUUUUACGUGGCGUACGCUCUUCUCGUUAUUGCUACCAUCCCGCUGAUAAUUCUCGACCUCGUCCAUGCCAAAAAGCAGAAUAUUCAGGUCACGCUGGCUGCUGUUGGGUUCUUCGCUAUGGUCAUCUGUAUACCGAUAUCGCUAUGGGGUAUAAUCAAUCACAUCGUAUGCUACACGAGACCAGACCUCCAGAAGUACAUUAUCAGGAUAUUAUGGAUUGUACCAAUCUACGAGGUAAACUGUUGGUUUGCCCUGCGUUUUCCAGCAGCGGAGAUAUAUUUGGACACACUUCGCCAGCUCUACCAGGCCUACGUCAUCUACAAUUACGUCUUCUAUCUUUUGACAUUCUUCGAGGAGGUGCCGAAUUUCAAGGAGCGACUGCUCGCUAAACCUCUGAUCAAGUCCCCAGCACCAUGCUGCUGUGUCAAAGCGGUACCCAAUCAAAGGAUAAUCAACCGAUGCAGGAACGGUGUUCUGAACUAUACGGUCAUCCGAAUUAUCUUUUCAGGGAUUUCAUUAGUCACCGAUCUUCUUGGCAAGUUCGAGGAAGGAAACUAUUCACCCAAUUUUGCCUACCUAUGGGUGACAAUUUGUGUCACUAUUUCGCAGAUUUGGGCUAUCUUCUGCAUGGUUCUCCUCCGCAAGGCUACUCUACAAGAGCUCGAGAUGCUGCCCCGCUCAACGGCUCAAUUCGUUGGAAUACAGAUGGUGAUCUUCGUUAGUAACUUCCAGUCUGUCAUCCUCAAUCUCCUGGCCCAGUUCGGGGUCUUCGAGAGAUUCGAGGAUCCUUUUGCCUUUGCAACUAUGCUACAGGAUUUUCUGAUCUGCCUUGAGAUGGUCUUAGGCGCCGCUGUUUUCUCCUAUUCGUUCGACUAUCAGCGCUAUAACACCGACAGCGAGCAUAAGAUGAUACUGUCCAAGUCCUUCAAGCACAUGUUGAAUGUGUCUGAUGUCAAGAACAACAUUAUGGACCACCUCAGAUUUGGAGGACAUACCUUCCAGAGGAAUCAUAGCGAAGCCGCAGCCUGGGCAGAGCAACUCUCGCCCAGCACUCCUGAUUCUCCUACAUCCAUACAAGACUUUUUCCCACCGCGAGAUGCGGUUCUGAGACCUCGGAUCAAGACAUCUAGGAAACAGAAGCUCACCUGUCAGCCUGAUAUCGUCCUGAAUCAACAGGGCCGCCCAGACUCCCCAGUCGACGAGAUGCAUACUCCUGACGAGCAAAGCGGCAGGAAAAAACAAGACGGUGCUCUUCAAAAUCGCGGAUUUGAAUAUCCAGAGGAUCAACAAGUUUUGGAUCCCCAAGAGGAUGAUGUAAGCGGUGAUAUGGACGACCUGAUUGGUGAGGAGUUUCCCGUCGACGAUGAUGACAGCGACGAAGACAGUCAUCUACCCGUCGAUGCGCGGUUGGACAAACCCCCUGCCGCUCCACACCACAGACGGGUCAAAAAGGUCAGCUUCUCUGGGAUGAAUUUUGACGACAUGGACGUCGACCACAUCAAAAACCACCGAUCCCCGACAAUGGAUUCCGACUCUUUUGUUACCAAGGAAACGGAGAAGGGUACCACUGAGGGUAGUGAAGGAUUCGGUAGCUCGGAGGCGUAGAGCUCACAGGAUGCAUGACGCAGGGUCACGCGGCACGGCAUAGUGAACACCCGAGCGGCCUAGCCUACACUCUGUCACAGUUACGUUCAGUUUCGGCUGAUGGAUAUACACGUACAUGUAGUAGAGUUGGUGUCUAGGCCAAAAUAGUUCAUCCGUGAUCACCAGCAGUCCUUAAAAUCAAUAAAGUAUGGAAGAAGGAACACCUGAAAACUGAGAUGAGCCAAGCGAAGAAGGUGACCAAAAUUAAAGCGAUCCGAACACAAGUGGAGGCAUCCGAGUUUACCUCAGAUGGGCCCUCGCCGCUUUUUACACUUGUACAUAAUAAAUAGGUACAGUAAUUGGAUUUUUUUCAAGCAGCAAGAAAUUGAAACUUGACCUGAAAAUGUUGGUCGCACCACUCAGUGUAUUGUUUACUGUCUUUCGCAAUGACUCCUGAAUCUCUUAGUUGGCUGAUAUGAGAAAAUUGAUAUUUAUGGUCGACAAAAUGCCUAUUUCAGCUAGUGUGCAAGCAAGUUGGUGAGACAGCGCACUUCUUUGCAGGCACUUGGACCAAUCACUGAGGGCCAACGAUACAGCCAAGAGCUCCUUUGCCGUCUGAAUAUUGGGACUCGACCAGUCCACUUUCACAUCAUGGAAGUCAGCUCCGGUGCCGCUGACGUUGAGCCGGACCAGCCAGCUGCCAC
This 2429-nucleotide unclassified non-coding RNA is filed under the name Acanthaster planci (crown-of-thorns starfish). RNAcentral's name for it is "transmembrane protein 184C-like, transcript variant X2". Lineage: Eukaryota; Metazoa; Echinodermata; Asteroidea; Valvatida; Acanthasteridae. The record is from RNAcentral.